UAUUUUCUAUACUCUUACAAAGUAAAAUCCUAUAUCUACAUAUUUAAAGAUACUAAAAUUAACAAAACAAAUUAGAAAUAACCUACAACAGUACUAUAAAAUUGAUGGAUUAUUCUAUUUAUUUUAACAUUUAUAUGAUUUGCAUAUACAAGAUGACCAAAGAAAAUUUAAUAACAAGAUAUAUUCUCAUGAAAAUAGAGUUCUAAUUGAGUGCUAUUGUGAAGGGGUGAAGAAUGUAUGUCUACGCUAAUAUGGCAAUAGGGACUGUUGUAGUUAUAUUGUUUCUAAUUUCUAUUUUGUGGCUAGUAUAUAUUAAACUAAAUUGUAUAUUAAAGUUUGUACCAAUGAAAAAUAUAACUUAUUAUAUUUUAAAAAAGGUAAUCUAUUUACAUACAUAAAAGUGUUAAGUAUAAAUAGAUAGGUGAUCACCACGGUCGCUGUGUCCACCAACUACGUUUCUCUCUGCGUUUGGGGUUAUUUUUCUUCAAAAUAAGAACAUGUUUGUAUUUUUUUUGUUUCGUUAAAGUCUUGUUUUAAGGUGUUGUAAAUGUAGCAAGAGUAUAGGGGAAAAGGACGCUACAAUACCAGAACUUUACAACCAGCCAUUAGUGGUGAAAAGCCUAGUACUGCCAUUCCGGAAACAACAUUAAUUGCAUCAAGACCAGACGCCUCUAGUAUGAAACCAAUGGUAAACUGUUGCUACCAAUGUCCAGGCCAGACGCCGCUAGUAUGAAACACAACUCAUAUAGGUCUGACAUGUGGUGUUGUUGCGAAACGCUAGUUAUGAACAAAUAAUCAGUAUCGUACCUUGAAACCUAAACGCGGGUAAUAUAAGUCUUGUGCCAUUUGACUAGCACUUGCUUUGAUACGUGGGACCUCAUUGUUAGUAAACCUUGGCUAUCAGAUAAUCUCUAGCGUGUUAAAAAUAAUAUAAACAAAACAUUAAUUGAACUAAACCUUAAUUAAAUAUUAAUAUUAAAAUGAUUGGCAUUCAUAUAUUACACAGAUUUGAACAUUACCGUUUAAAUCACAAAAUAACAGCUAACUAAAACUAAUAGGCUCGCCCAGUUUCUGGCUGCCGAGAUGCCUCCGUCGGAGCCACUGCCGUCGGGCCUACGCGUCAUCCUCGGAGAUGUGGAUGACGUCCUCUUGGCCGUAGCCGCAGCCAGAAGCUAGCAGUACAUCGAAUGGAGGAACAACGCGACCAGGAGGUGGCUGGCUUAGCUCCUUAAGUAUUUCCUCCCGCUCGUCGGGAGGAAACAACUUGGUUACGAGGUGAACCUCUUUUGUUUUGAAAAUGAGGAUCACCUCGGCCUUUAUAUCUGAAUGAUGCAUGUAGCCAUAUUAUUAAUCAAAAUGUCUCACAAAUGGUCUAUCAUGCAAUAGUUGUUUCCAAAAGAGCCAAUGUAAAAUGAUAAAUAAAAUUGACACAUCCGACGAAAAUAGAACAAGAUAACUAAACACCUAGUUUAUGUUGCAAAUAUGAACAAUUUAACAAAGGAUUUUAUUAACAAAAAAGGUAGGGAAAACAUGAAUAUGAACAUAGGCGUCGUGACGAGGCGGGCGACGGAGGAGGAGGAGGAGCGUGUAUGUCUCUCUUGUUUUCAAGCUCAUACAUGUGUGGAAACAUCCUCCCUUAUAAGAAGGUCCAACUCCCAUUAAACUAGCAAUGUGGGACUAAACUUUUUCACCUCUUGCCUUGCACGGAUGGGCUGCGUGGACCUCUAGGAUUUAUUAAGAAUUUCUAAAAUUAUUAUUGGGCUGACUCAAAAUAGAUAAAGUUCUAGCAAUUUAUUAUUGCAUCCUCAUUCAAACCGGUUGUAAGUAUCCCAUGUCACAAUCUCUCACCGGUUGCAUCCAAUAGCAAUAUGCUCCUUGGCUUCUGCAUGACUAAGUAACAACCAUACACAGAUCCAAGCGGUAGUUCUGUAAAUAACCUGCACUUUUUUUUGCAAUAGUUUUUUAUUAAAAAUUAUGUCAUUUCUAUGCUUCUAUAUAGCCCAAAUUAAUGCACAUACUCCUACUCAAAUAUGUUCUAC
RNAcentral lists this long non-coding RNA (2039 nucleotides) under Hordeum vulgare. Its description in RNAcentral is "long non-coding RNA (HVUL_LNC002747)". Lineage: Eukaryota; Viridiplantae; Streptophyta; Magnoliopsida; Poales; Poaceae. The record is from RNAcentral.